AACAGUAAAAAACAAAAAAAUGCCCAAUUAAUGAGUUUCCAAUUCUUCCAUUACACAGUGAGAGCAAACCCACAUAAUUACAACCUCCAUCUCGCUCAGCUCUCUAUACAUGUAUGUAUAGGUCUCUUUGUCUCUCUAUAUGGAUCAUGAACAAUUGCAUACGUCUGGCGAAGAUCGAGGUCGAACAUGGCGAACUAUCUUGCUCAGUUCCAGUCGAUCAAGAGCUCCCUCGAUCAUCUCCUGAUUGCAGUGGGAGGUCGAUCAUCCUGUUUCGAAAAUGAGAUCCUUUGCGAGUUUGCCAUUCCAGCGAGGCUAGGUGCUUUAUUCAAGUUCCUGGAUGCUUUCAGUCCCCUUUGGAACAUAAGCUUGUUCCGUUACUGUGGACAACUUUGUGCCUGUUAUGCUGACAAUCCACUUUACUCAUUGUAAUGUUGUUGCAUAAGGCUAAUAUUCCUCGUGUUUUCAUCUUACAAGGGUGAAAGUGGCGUGUGGAUGCGUUGGUCGGUUUUCAUGUUACAAGCUCUGAGAUAAACAAGUUCAAGGCACAGUAAUAGUACCUGUGUUCAGUUUAAAAAAUAGUAAUAGUACUAGUGUUCAGUUAAGAAAUAGUAUGUAUUCAUUUAAAAAAUAGUGAUAGUACUAGUGUUCAAUUUAAGAAACAAUGAUAGUAUUAUUGUUCAAUU
Malus domestica (apple) is the source of this 683-nucleotide long non-coding RNA. RefSeq lists it as uncharacterized. The record is from RefSeq and is a predicted model, not a curated record. Lineage: Eukaryota; Viridiplantae; Streptophyta; Magnoliopsida; Rosales; Rosaceae.